Molecule: transfer RNA, 29 nt
Filed under: Acilepis peguensis
Lineage: Eukaryota; Viridiplantae; Streptophyta; Magnoliopsida; Asterales; Asteraceae
Description: partial tRNA-Phe
Source: RNAcentral
AGCUCAGGUGGUAGAGCAAAAGAAUGAAA